RNAcentral lists this ribosomal RNA (254 nucleotides) under uncultured bacterium. RNAcentral's name for it is "partial 16S ribosomal RNA". It matches the Rfam family "Bacterial small subunit ribosomal RNA", at positions 524 to 776 of the family's 1533-position model. The record is from RNAcentral.
CACGUAGGGGACGAGCGUUGUCCGGAUUCAUUGGGCGUAAAGGGCGCGUAGGCGGCCUCUGCAAGUCGACUGUGAAAUCUCCGGGCUUAACCCGGAACGGUCAGCCGAUACUGCAGGGCUAGAGUGCAGAAGGGGCAACUGGAAUUCUCGGUGUAGCGGUGAAAUGCGUAGAUAUCGAGAGGAACACCUGCGGCGAAGGCGGCCCCCUGGUUGGAUACUGACGCUGAUACGCGAAAGCGUGGGGAGCAAACAGG